Molecule: long non-coding RNA, 4489 nt
Filed under: Salmo salar (Atlantic salmon)
Lineage: Eukaryota; Metazoa; Chordata; Actinopteri; Salmoniformes; Salmonidae
Description: lncRNA (ENSSSAG00000087651.1)
Source: RNAcentral
GUGGCUGUCUGGUCACUACUGAGAGACUGUCGGUGGCUGUCUGGUCAUUACUGAGAGAAUGUCGGUGGCUGGCCAUCCUGUCUGGUCACUACUGAGAGACUGUCGGUGGCUGGCCAUCCUGUCUGCACUAUGUGUGCAAAGCUGUCAUCAAGGCAAAGGGUGGCUACUUUGAAGAAUCUAAAAUAUAUUUUGAUUUGUUUAACGUUUUUUUGGUUACUACAUGAUUCCAUGUGUUAUUUCAUAGUUUUGAAGUCUUCACUAUUAUUUUACAAUGUAGAAAAUAGUUAAAAAAAAAACUGGAAUGAGUAGUUUUGUCCAAACUUUUGACUGGUACUGUAUAUGGACAAAAUCAUCAUGGUGCUUUUUGAUGCCAAGUUUACAAACAUUGGUUGUGGUAAGUAUAAUAUAAACUUUGGUAUCAUUAUGGUAAGGCGGGAAUUAAGUAUAGCCAGUUAUUGCUUAGCAGAUCAUUAAAAUAAAAGAGAGAAUAUAAUAUCUAUUGUUUUACAGGAAACUCACUCUGUAGAUGAGGUUGGGAGAAAUAUAUUUUGUCGCGGGCUAAGAAACUCAAAAGGUUUGACUGUAUUAACAACAAUGUUUAUAUGAUUGUGCAAACUGAUCGUCAAGGAAGAUGGAUCCUUUUAAAAAUGUUAUUGGACCAAAAACAGAUCUUGAUAAUUAAUCUAUAUGGGCCAAAUGAUCCACACUUAUUAGAAUAUAUAUAUAUAUUGAGCUCACAAGCAACGAAUUAAUCUAUUAUUAUGGUGGGAGAUUUUAAUGCUCUUUUAAGUACAUCCAUGGAUCGUAAAGAAAUCACACUACAGACUAUCACCCUCUUAAUGAAAUCACAAAUAUCAUAAUAUAUUAUGGAGGUUUAAUAUCCUAUCCUAGUGAGAUAUACAUGGAGGUUUAACAUCCUGACCUAGAGAGAUAUACAUGGAGGAGGUUUAAUAGCCUGACCUAGUGAGAUCUACAUGAAGGAGGUUUAAUAUCCUGACCUUGUGAGAUAUACACGGAGGAGGUUUAAUAUCCUGACCUAGUGAGAUAUACACGGAGGAGGUUUAAUAUCCUGACCUAGUGAGAUAUACACGGAGGAGGUUUAAUAUCCUGGCCUAGUGAGAUAUACACGGAGGAGGUUUAAUGUCCUGACCUAGUGAGAUAUACACGGAGGAGGUUUAAUAUCCCGACCUAGUGAGAUAUACAUAAAGGUUUAAUAUCCUGACCUAGUGAGAUAUACACAGAAGUUUAAUAUCCUGACCUAGUGAGAUAUACACGGAGGAGGUUUAAUAUCCUGACCUAGUGAGAUAUACAUGGAGGAGGUUUAAUAUCCUGACCUAGUGAGAUAUACAUGGAGGAGGCUUAAUAUCCUGUUUUUAACAACCUGUUUUUAACGAAGACAACAUUAUUUAUAAUUGACUUUUUUCUGCACAACAUAUGUACAGCACAUCCCCUCAUUGUAUGGGACACUUUCAAAUGUACUUUUAGAGGCCAUUCAAUACAAUACUCAUCAUUAAAACAAAAGCAAAUUAGAGGCACAACAUACUGUAGGUUAUAGGAAAUAACAGCAGGGAGAUAGUAAUGGUAACUACUAUAGAGGCACAAAAUAGGUUAUAGGAAAAACAAAAGGAAUUGGGGGGACUUAAAAGCGAAUUGGAUGGUAAAUGAUGAAAAAUGCACAAAAUUAUUUUUUUAUCUUCAACAUCAAAAUGCUAUGAAAAAGAGUUUACAGAAACUCGUUACAAAUGUUGGAGUCAUCCAUGAUUCACCAAAUUAUACUAUACUUUGAAAUAGGAAGCUAAAUAUUUUAAGCGUAUCAUUUAUUCAGUCUCCACUGAAUGAUUUUAACUGUAAGGAUUUAUUUCCUAAUAAUAAUGUAGAAUUAACAAAUGUACAGAAAGAUUAAAUAUUUUCAGUCUGGAAAAACACCAGGGCUUGACAGUAUACCAGUAGAGGUAUAUCAGACCUUUUUUGAUGUACUCAAAUAUCCAUUAUUAGCAUGUUUUAAUUACUCCUAUAAAAAUGGCAGACUUUCAGGUACUCAACAAGGUCUGAUUUCAUUACUACUGAAACAGGACCCUUGUGGUAAGGUAUAAAGAUCCAGUCCAUUUAAACAACUGGAGACCUCUAAUGCUUCAAUGUUGUGAUGUGAAAAUCCUGGCGAGAUGAAAAGCACAUAGAACAAAACAGGUUUUUACCAGAUAUUGUUCAUCCUGAUCAGACAGGUUUUUUACAUUGACAAUAUAUUGGAGAUAUUAUUAGACAAUUACUUGAAACAAUUGAGCAUUAUGAAACAUCAAAGAUACCAGGCCUGGUCUUCAUAGCAGAUUUCGAAAAGGCAUUUGAUAAAGUAAGUCUAAAAUGUAUAUAUAAAUGCCUGGACUACUUUAAUAUCAGUGAAUCUCUUAUACAAUGGGUUAAAGUUAUGUACAGCAACCCCAGGUGUAAAAUAGUCUCAGAAAGUAUUGAGCUUUUAAGAGGAGUAAAACAAGGUUGUCCGUUGUCGCCAUAUCUAUUUAUUAUGGUCAUUGAAAUGCUAGAUAUUAAAAUUAGAUCCAACAAGAACAUUAAGGGGUUAGAAAUCCAGGGUUAAAAACAAGUGUCAAUGUAUGCCGAUUUUAGUUUUUUUCUUAAGUCCACAAUCUGGAUCCCUGCACAGUCUCAUUAAAGAUCAUGUUUCUAGCCUCUGGACUAAAACCUAAUUAUGACAAGUAUAUCAUAUUACGCGUUGGAUCGUUAAAAUACGGUGUUUACACUGCUUUGCAGUUUACCAAUAAAAUGGGCGGAUGGUGAAGUAGACAUACUUGGUAUUCAUAACUCAAAAAAUGUUAAUGAGUUUGGUUGUGUUAAUGUCAAUAGAAUGUUUUCAAAAAUAGAUACAAUUCUGCAAACAUGGAGAGGUAAAUACUUGCUUAUUUAUGGAAAAAUCACAUUGAUUCACUUGUUGGUCCUAUCAGUUGACUUACUUACUAAUUGCACAGCCUACUCCAGACAAUCUUUUUUUAAUCAUAUGAGCAAAACAAAUAUUUCACUUAUUUGAAAUGCUAUGCCAGACCAAAUUAAACGUACCUAUUUAUGAGUUUGAGGGCCUAAAAUCAUUAAAUAUUGAUUAAAUAUUAAACCUCACUAAAGGAUUCACUCAUAAGUUAUACUUAAACCCCAAAUUGUUCUCCAGUAGAUUAUUAAGAAAGGCUCAUUUAUUGAAAAAUGACUUUUUGCGUUUAAACAGAUUACAACUUCUAAUUUCUGACUAAUUGAAAAUGAAACUUUGUUUUAAGUAUCAUCCUUUCUUAAACAAGCCAUACAAAGCUGGUUACAAUUUCAAUGUUAUCCUACAGAAGAGAUGGAACAAAUAUUAUGGUUAAACUGAAAUAUACUGAUUGAUUUAAAAAAAAAAAACGUUCUUUAUGGAUAAAAAAAAAGGUAUAUUUAUUAAUGAUAUUAUGAGUAGAAACAGAGGAGUUGUGUCAUAUGCAGCUAUCGAAAAUACAUGGGAAAUUCUGCUCAAUACAAAAAUGGCAAGUGGAAAAGGGCAAAGGUAGGGAACUUGUUUGCCUGCCAUAUAUUAAAGAUACAUAUUGGCUGAAAGGAACUGGCAUAAAUAGAAAAGUAUACCAGUUUCAUCUGAGGACAAAAAUGUUGACAGCUGCGUCAUUCAGGUUGUAAAAUAGUUGAGAAGAGAUUUCUGAUGUUUAAAAAAAUAAAUAAUGUAACCUUUAUUUAACUACGCAAGUCAGUUAAGAACAAAUUCUUAUUUACAAUGUCGGCCUUUACAAUGUACCGAUUCCUGACACUUGAUUCAAUUAAUAUUCAACAUUCUUGCCACCAAAAUAUGCUAUAUAUAAACUGAAUAAAAAUAUAAAUGCAACGUGUAAAGUGUUGGUCCUAUGUUUCAUGAGUUGAAAUAAAAGAUGAACAAAAAGCAUAUUUCUCAAAUGUUGUGUACAAAUUUCUUUACAUCCUUGUUAGUGAGCAUUUCUCCUUUGCCAAUAUAAUCCAUCCACCUGACAUGUGUGGCAUAUCAAGAAUCUGAUUAAACAAUAUGAUCAUUACACAGGUGCACCUUGUGCUGUGGACAAAAGGCCACUCCAAAAUGUGCGGUUUUGUCACACAACACAAUGCCACAGAUGUCUCAAGUUUUGAGGGAGCGUGAAAUUGGCAUGCUGACUGCAGGAAUGUCCGCCAGAGCUGUUGCCAAAGAAUUGAAUGUUAAUUUCUCUACCAUAAGCCACCAAUGUCGUUUUAGAGAAUUUGGCAGUACGUCCAACCGGCCUCACAACCGCAGACAACGCCAGCCCAGGACUUCCACAUCCGACUUCUUCACCUGUGAGAUCGUUUGAGGUGGAGGAGUAUUUCUGUCUGUAAUAAACAAUUUUUUUCAGAAAAGUGUCAUUUUGAUUGGCUUGGCCUGGCUCCCCAGUGUGUGGGCCUGGCUCCCAGGUGUGUGGGUGGAUGACCCAUGGCUGUGCCCCUGCCCAGUCAUGUGAAACCA